AUGCAAGUCGAGCGGGGAGCAAUCCCAGCGGCGAACGGUCGCGUAACACGUAAGCAACCUGCCCCGAAGACCGGGACAACAGUUCGAAAGGACUGCUAAUACCGGAUGUGCCCACUCUUUCGCAUGUUAGGGUGAGUAAAACAAGCAAUUGGCUUCGGGAGGGGCUUGCGGCCUAUCAGCUAGAUGGCGGGGUAUUGGCCCACCAUGGCGACGACGGGUAGCUGGUCUGAGAGGAUGGUCAGCCGGACUGGGACUGAGAUACGGCCCAGACUCCUACGGGGGGCAGCAAUUAGGAAUCUUGCGCAAUGGGCGAAAGCCUGACGCAGCGACGCCGCGUGGAGGAGGAAGGCCUUCGGGUUGUAAACUCCUUUUUCGAGGGAAGAACACAAUGACGGUACCUCGGGAAUAAGCCCCGGCUAACUCCGUGCCAGCAGCCGCGGUAAUACGGAGGGGGCGAGCGUUGUCCGAAGUUACUGGGCGUAAAGCGCGUGUAGGCGGGUUGCCAAGUCCGCUGUGAAAGCCCGAGGCUCAACCUCGGAGGGUCGGUGGAUACUGGCAGUCUUGAAGGUGCUAGGGGGAGAUGGAAUUACCGGUGUAGCGGUGAAAUGCGUAGAGAUCGGUAGGAACACC
Molecule: ribosomal RNA, 630 nt
Filed under: uncultured soil bacterium
Lineage: Bacteria
Description: bacterial SSU rRNA
Rfam family: Bacterial small subunit ribosomal RNA
Source: RNAcentral